Molecule: long non-coding RNA, 1104 nt
Organism: Cyanistes caeruleus (blue tit)
Lineage: Eukaryota; Metazoa; Chordata; Aves; Passeriformes; Paridae
Source: Ensembl
GGUGUGGCUGCAGCCGAGAGUGUCUGCGGCUGCCGGGGGUCUCAGCCGAGCCCACGGGGAGGGGAGAUGGGUUAUGGGUUUCAUGAGUCUGGCUCGCAUCACUCGAGCAUCUCACGGCUCUGUCCCAGCACAGCGGCCCCGGUGACUCAUACUGCGAAACUGGAGCUUUUUUUUUUUUUUUUUUUUUUUUUUUUUUUUUUCUUUUUUUUUCAGUAGGAGCGCGGCUCAAUCAGUCAAUUACUUGAAGAGCCGCUCUAAUUUGGCACCCAAUUGUUCCCCCAGCUGCCGCUGCGUCUGAUCUCCGCUGUGGGCGGCAGGAGCAGGCUGCCUGCGCAAGGGAUGGAGCCCAGGCGCCCAAGGGAGGAGGAGGAGGAGGAGGAAGAGGAGGAGGAGAAGAGGAGGAGGCAGCAGCAUCAUCAGCAGCGGCAGGGAGGCCACUCUGCCUGGCUGAACAGCCCCGCGCCCGCAGAACAGCAGCACUAAAAAUGCAGGCAUUAAAAAUAUCUCAGGGUCACAGUGACUUGCCUCCCGUCACGUGAGAAUUCAGCGGCUGAGCCAGCAGCGGAGCACAAGCACUCGACCUACGUCUCCUGCCCUUUAGCCCCUACAAGCAGUCCCUUUUUUCCAAGAAAUCCAAGAAUAGGAUCUGUACCGUCACAGCUGUUUUUAUGUCAGCGAGGAUUUUUUUUUCCCGAAGAAGAGGAAGCUUGCUUUCAGCGAGGAGCCUCGAUUAAAGCCGCACAGCGCUGCGAGGGGCUGCGGUGCUCCCCACUCCAGGAUGGAGGUACCCAGGAGCAAGGAGAGGUGUGGCUGCAGUCAAAUGCGUGUCCCCAGGCUAUAGCUCCUCUUUCACCCUUCUAGCACAAGCGUUUCCAUAUUCUGUGCGUUCACACACACGCAAACGCCUGCCUCAGCCUGCGCUGCUGCCAUGGAGCUCCUCCAGCUGCACCCGCAGGCAGGCAGGCUCCCCGUGUAUCCCGGCAGAGAGCAUUCCCUACCUGCACACCUCCCAGCCCUGCUCCUGCCCCUCUGGUUUACCCUUUGAGGCCUGUUCAAAUUGAGGUUCCAAGCAGCACACUCAUUUUGGAGAAAGCCCAUCUGCGC